CCGAGUAAUUUCUUUUUGAAGUUAAAUUACAUAAGGUUUUAAUUAUUAUGUUCUAAUACGAGCUAAUGGUUCAUAUCCGUUAAGGCAGUGAUUACUCAAAGUAGCUAUAUGUCAUGAGUUGGAGAGCAUUAAGCAUCAUAGUGGUUUAAAUAUGCCAAUAUGUUCGUAUGCAAUUAGGCCAUAUAUAUUGGUCGCCUGUAAUUAUAAUAUUUUACUGCCAGCUCAACCUGUAAUAGUAUUUAUUGCUAAAUGUGCCGGCUUCUUAUGAUAAAUCAUCUGUCGCACACAGCCGUGCCUACGACCUAACAACAUAGAACUCCUCAUCUGUAAAGUGCCAAUGAUAAUCAGGUAUAUUCUCCCAAAGAUUUAUAUGAAGAAGCCAGCAGAGCAAAAGGCUGUGUAACCCUGACCGGCAAUUUGAUGUAUUUACUCUUACGUAGCCUUUUAAUAUUUCUUAGUUAUAUGCAGUGUUAUCGAAAGCAUUAAGCGCACCAAGGCGAAAAACUCUCUGGAGCCUAGGCGCAAAGCGCAAAAGCGAGGCGCGCGCUUCUUUGAAGCUAGGCGCAUGUUUUACGAAUUUUUUUAUUUAUUAUUUAGGAUAUAUGUAUAUAGGUUUAUAACAUUAUUUAUACUUGAUAAUAUAUUAAAUCACACUAUAAGCCAAAAAUAACUUAAUUUAUCCUUUAUAAUAUAUUAAUUGAUACUUUUAGAGGGAAAAACUAUCCUAAAAUUAAAUAUUAAAAUUCAAUCCUAAGAAAAGCAAGUCCCCUCCUCCUCCUCUAAUAAACGUCGAGGCCUCUUACCUUUGCUCUAAUUUGAACUUGAAGGAUUGGGGUUAUUUUGAACCCUAUUAGACUUAGAGGCUGAUUUUGAUUGCGACCUGGAGUUAUAUGCAGGCUCUCUAGCACCUGAAGCUUUUUCAACUAUUGACCAAUUUAGUCCAUCAUCAUCGGAGAAGAUGAAAGCUGAGAGCCUGAUAUAGCCUUUUUAUUUGGGCCUAAAAUUCUUUUUUUUGUUAUGGGUUAGUACUUUUAGGCUUUAAAAGUGUCCCAAUUUUUUUUUUUUUGUUUUGGGUUAGUACUUUUAGGCUUUAAAAGUGUCCCAAUUUUUUUUUUUUUGUUAUGGGUUAGUACUUUUGGGCCUUAAAAGUGGCCCAAUAACAUUAAAUAACUUAUUAUGCGCUUAGCUUCACCAAAGCGCGCUUUUCUACCGCUUCGUGCUUAAGCGCUUUUUUGCUUCAAGGCUAAAAGCGUGCGCUUCAUUGAAGUUGCUUCGCCUCGACAUAUAUGAGGCGCUAAGGGUGCGCUUUGCUUCGCUUUGCUCGCCUAGGCGCGCUUUUCACAACACUGGUUAUAUGCCAUGUCCAUAAUAAGCGAAGCAACAGUUAUGCUUAUCCUUUAAUCUGAAGUUAUUUUUUUUUAAAUAAAGCAGUUGACAACUGUAUUCUCCACUUGUUUUCACUAGAAGAAAUGAACAUUAUGCCUCUCAUUUCUUUUGGAAAGUACCUCUACCUCAUGCUAUGAUUGUGUUGUUUCCCCCCUGAAAUGACCAUCUCCUUGUGAUAUACAUAUCCUUAAUAUUAUUGACCAAGUUUUCGUGACUAAUAAUGUUAUAAGUUUUAAUAAUACUUUCACUUGUCUUCAGCAAUUGGAGCUACAUUUUAAGUGGUAUUAUACAACUCGU
This 1683-nucleotide long non-coding RNA is filed under the name Daucus carota (carrot). Its description in RNAcentral is "long non-coding RNA (DCAR_LNC004633)". Lineage: Eukaryota; Viridiplantae; Streptophyta; Magnoliopsida; Apiales; Apiaceae. The record is from RNAcentral.